GUAGGUGAACCUGCGGAAGGAUCAUUACCGAGAGAGGGUCCCUUUGGGGCCCGACCCUCCCAUCCCCUGUGUAUGUACCUCUGUUGCUUCGGCGGGCCCGUGGGUCCCUUUGGGGCUCACCACCGGCGUCGGUCGGUCCGCGCCCGCCAGAGGCCCUUAUCAAACCCGAUUGUGCCAGUGAGGUCUGAGUGCAACGUAAUACAGUAAAACUUUCAACAACGGAUCUCUUGGUUCUGGCAUCGAUGAAGAA
This 250-nucleotide unclassified non-coding RNA is filed under the name plant metagenome. Its description in RNAcentral is "partial contains small subunit ribosomal RNA, internal transcribed spacer 1, and 5.8S ribosomal RNA". The record is from RNAcentral.